Molecule: long non-coding RNA, 1354 nt
Filed under: Lepisosteus oculatus (spotted gar)
Lineage: Eukaryota; Metazoa; Chordata; Actinopteri; Semionotiformes; Lepisosteidae
Description: lncRNA (ENSLOCG00000021433.1)
Source: RNAcentral
AGCCUCAUGGAUGAACUUUUGUUCCGGCUCAACGCCCUGUCCGACAGUCUUCACCACACUCUGCCUGCUAAAGAGCCGGCCUGCAAGGAGGGCGAAAGCUCUGGGCUCUGUCAGUCAGACUGUGACUGCAGCCUGGACUCGGAGCACGCAGGUGACAGCGAGGGUCAAGCACGGAGAAAGGGAGGGAAAACCGAAGCACUCCUGUUCCAGGACGGCCCAGAGACGUACCACGCGUCCCUGCCCCUUGAGGAAGGCACAGUGAGGAAGGAACAGAAUCAGCUGAGAUCGCAGCUCGAAUGGGAGCCGCUCCGGCCCCUGCGGCGGAAGGGAGAGGGGAUCGCUCCGACGGGCUCCCGGGGGAAUCCGGAGCAGCCCAGCUGUUCCCCAGACAGGGCGGGCCCCCCCUGCGCUGGGGUCAGAGCAGGGCCCCCCGCGGCCGACCCCGACCACUACAGCCUGGCCAGCCUCGGACACGACCUGCCCCACGUCCUGUGCGGGACCAGGUGCCCCGAGAAACGGGCGUCCCAAUGCGGGGCCGGCUGUCCGGGGGUCCCCCCGACAGGCCUGCCCGCCCGGAACCGCCGGGUGCUGACGCGGUCCCGCUCCGCCGUGAUCCAGACGGCCCGCCUGUCCGGACCGCGCUCCCCGCCGGGGGGCAGCGGGAAAGGGCGCCGGCUCAAAGGCAGGUCCAGAAUCGCUCCCGCUUCCGGGCCGACUCCCGACCCGCGGGCCGGGCCGGCGAGACAGUGCUGGUGACCCGCUUCUGAACGCUGAAAGAAGGGGCAGGCUCACGAGUCAGAGGGCGACCAGGCCAGGUCCCAGUGGAGAGGCAGUCUGGGAGCACUGGAGCGACUAGAGGGAAUGGACUGGGAAUGGACAAGAACUGCGAAACAAUCUGUGUGUUACAGAAAUACAGAAUAAAAAGGCAAGAGAAUGUGUGGCUUAAAUAUGCUGAGUGAGUACCCCACGGCAACGUAAUAAACCAUAAUAUCUAAGUACGUUCAUGCUUUUACGUUAAGGAACACUAGAACAAAUUUAACUCGAUGUGUCAUGAUGCUUUUACAAAGCAUCAGCAGCCUUGUGAUAUUCCAGUGAUUGUUGGAAAUACAGUAAUUCACCCAAGGUUUCAGUUUCACAUCCCCUAAGCUGACUGCUACUAUUGUUGAUGGAUUUUUAACUGCUGUGCACCAUGUCCUGGAGGUACCUGUUAUUGAAAACACGUGAUCUGUAUGUGUUCACGUACAAGUAUCAGGCUGCUCUGCCGACGUGCUGCAGGUGCUGAGGUCUAUUCCACACUGAACAGUUCUGGAGUACACGAUAGAAAUGUCUCCUCUGCUUUCAAGAUAAUUGUAAU